UGAGGAAUCUUGCGCAAUGGGGGAAACCCUGACGCAGCGACGCCGCGUGGAGGACGAAGGCCUUCGGGUCGUAAACUCCUGUCAAGUGGGACGAAAGUCGACGGGAUGAAUAAGCUCGUCGGUUGACGGUACCACUGGAGGAAGCCCCGGCUAACUCCGUGCCAGCAGCCGCGGUAAUACGGAGGGGGCUAGCGUUGUUCGGAAUCAUUGGGCGUAAAGGGCGCGUAGGCGGUCUGGUAAGUCAGUUGUGAAAUCCCUCGGCUCAACCGAGGAAUUGCUUCUGAUACUGCCGGGCUGGAGUCCCGGAGAGGGCAGUGGAAUUCCCAGUGUAGCGGUGAAAUGCGUAGAUAUUGGGAGGAACACCAGUGGCGAAGGCGGCUGCCUGGACGGGUACUGACGCUAAAGCGCGAAAGCGUGGGGAGCAAACAGGAUUAGAUACCCCUGUAGUCC
RNAcentral lists this ribosomal RNA (450 nucleotides) under uncultured bacterium. Its description in RNAcentral is "bacterial SSU rRNA". It matches the Rfam family "Bacterial small subunit ribosomal RNA", at positions 355 to 796 of the family's 1533-position model. The record is from RNAcentral.